This 292-nucleotide ribosomal RNA is filed under the name uncultured bacterium. Its description in RNAcentral is "partial 16S ribosomal RNA". It matches the Rfam family "Bacterial small subunit ribosomal RNA", at positions 505 to 796 of the family's 1533-position model. The record is from RNAcentral.
GUGUCAGCAGCCGCGGUAAUACAGAGGGUGCGAGCGUUAAUCGGAAUUACUGGGCGUAAAGCGCACGUAGGCGGCUUCGUAAGUCGGAUGUGAAAUCCCCGGGCUCAACCUGGGAACUGCAUUCGAGACUGCGAAGCUCGAGUAUGGGAGAGGACAGCGGAAUUCCGGGUGUAGCGGUGAAAUGCGUAGAUAUCCGGAGGAACAUCAGUGGCGAAGGCGGCUGUCUGGCCCAAUACUGACGCUCAGGUGCGAAAGCGUGGGGAGCAAACAGGAUUAGAUACCCGUGUAGUCC